AGUGAACGCUGGCGGUAGGCCUAACACAUGCAAGUCGAACGGCAGCACAGGAGAGCUUGCUCUCUGGGUGGCGAGUGGCGGACGGGUGAGGAAUACAUCGGAAUCUACUUUUUCGUGGGGGAUAACGUAGGGAAACUUACGCUAAUACCGCAUACGACCUACGGGUGAAAGCAGGGGACCUUCGGGCCUUUCGCGAUUGAAUGAGCCGAUGUCGGAUUAGCUAGUUGGCGGGGUAAAGGCCCACCAAGGCGACGAUCCGUAGCUGGUCUGAGAGGAUGAGCAGACACACUGGAACUGAGACACGGUCCAGACUCCUACGGGAGGCAGCAGUGGGGAAUAUUGGACAAUGGGCGCAAGCCUGAUCCAGCCAUACCGCGUGGGUGAAGAAGGCCUUCGGGUUGUAAAGCCCUUUUGUGGGGAAAGAAAUCCAGCUGGCUAAUACCCGGUUGGGAUGACGGUACCCAAAGAAUAAGCACCGGCUAACUUCGUGCCAGCCGCCGCGGUAA
RNAcentral lists this ribosomal RNA (506 nucleotides) under uncultured bacterium. RNAcentral's name for it is "partial 16S ribosomal RNA". It matches the Rfam family "Bacterial small subunit ribosomal RNA", at positions 29 to 523 of the family's 1533-position model. The record is from RNAcentral.